Non-coding RNA from Acanthosepion pharaonis, 113 nucleotides. The record is from the annotation of a GenBank genome assembly. NCBI's taxonomy places the organism in Eukaryota, Metazoa, Mollusca, Cephalopoda, Sepiida, Sepiidae.
CUACGGCAAUAUCACGUUGAAACACCAGUUCUCGUAUGAUCACCGAAGUUAAUCAACGUCGAGCCUGGUCAGUACCUAGAUGGGUGACCGUUUAGGUAUACCAGAUGCUGUAA